Molecule: ribosomal RNA, 496 nt
Filed under: uncultured bacterium
Lineage: Bacteria
Description: bacterial SSU rRNA
Rfam family: Bacterial small subunit ribosomal RNA
Source: RNAcentral
AAAUGAAUUGACGGGGGCCCGCACAAGCGGAGGAACAUGUGGUUUAAUUCGAUGAUACGCGAGGAACCUUACCCGGGCUUGAAAUGCAUCUGACCGGGCCGGAAACGGUCUUUCCCAGCGAUGGGCAGAUGUGUAGGUGCUGCAUGGUUGUCGUCAGCUCGUGCCGUGAGGUGUCGGCUUAAGUGCCAUAACGAGCGCAACCCUCAUCGUCAGUUACCAUCGGGUAAAGCCGGGGACUCUGAGGAGACUGCCAUCGUAAGAUGCGAGGAAGGUGGGGAUGACGUCAAAUCAGCACGGCCCUUAUGUCCGGGGCGACACACGUGUUACAAUGGGCGGUACAGCGGGGAGCUACCCGGCGACGGGGAGCCGAUCCCGAAAGCCGCUCACAGUUCGGAUCGGAGUCUGCAACUCGACUCCGUGAAGGCGGAUUCGCUAGUAAUCGCGCAUCAGCCACGGCGCGGUGAAUACGUUCCCGGGCCUUGUACACACCGCCCGU